AGGGGUAAAGCUCAGUGGUAGAAUGCUUGCCUAGCAUGCAUGAGGUCCUGGGUUCAAUCCCCAGUAUCUCUA
Transfer RNA from Camelus ferus (Wild Bactrian camel), 72 nucleotides. It matches the Rfam family "tRNA". Rfam says of the family: Transfer RNA (tRNA) molecules are approximately 80 nucleotides in length. Their secondary structure includes four short double-helical elements and three loops (D, anti-codon, and T loops). NCBI's taxonomy places the organism in Eukaryota, Metazoa, Chordata, Mammalia, Artiodactyla, Camelidae. The record is from Rfam.